This 776-nucleotide ribosomal RNA is filed under the name uncultured Neocallimastigales. RNAcentral's name for it is "partial large subunit ribosomal RNA". It matches the Rfam family "Eukaryotic large subunit ribosomal RNA", at positions 23 to 621 of the family's 3401-position model. Lineage: Eukaryota; Fungi; Neocallimastigomycota; Neocallimastigomycetes; Neocallimastigales. The record is from RNAcentral.
GAGACUCUGUGCGCGUGCAUAUCAAUAAGCGGAGGAAAAGAAACUAACAAGGAUUCCCCUAGUAACGGCGAGUGAAGCGGGAAGAGCUCAAAUUUGAAAUCUUAAAGGGUUUCCCUUUACGAAUUGUAGUUUAAAGAAGUGUUUUCUGUUGGAGUUUCGGUAAAAGUUCUUUGGAAUAGGACAUCAUAGAGGGUGAGAAUCCCGUAUUUGACCGUUACUUUCCAGCUGUGUGAUACACUUUCAAAGAGUCGGAUUGUUUGGGAAUGCAGUCCAAAAUGGGUGGUAAAUUUCAUCUAAAGCUAAAUAUUGGCGAGAGACCGAUAGCGAACAAGUACCGUGAGGGAAAGAUGAAAAGAACUUUGAAAAGAGAGUUAAACAGUACGUGAAAUUGUCAAAAGGGAAGCGUUUGACACCAGUGUUGUUUAGUUGAAAAUCAAUUCAAUAAUUUUUGAUUUUAAGUAGUAUUGACUUCAUCAGCUUGCUGCUUUCUUUUCAGGAAUUAUUGAAUGCACUUUUCAGUUAACAAGUCAACAUCAAUUUCUUUUGUUGUAAAAGGGUAAGAGGAAGGUGGCUUACGCUUCGGCGUAAGUGUUUAUAGCCUUUUACCUCUGCAGUCGGAGAGAUUGAGGACAGCAGCGUAGACUCUUCGGGGUUAGAUACACUUGUGCUAAGCUAUAGCCUUGUAUAGACAACUUGUUGACUAUGCUCAGUCAUGUAGCUUACUCGCUUGAUGCUAUUUUACCUACGCUUAGGAUGUUGAACUCUAUCACACACAG